GCUUUGAAAAACUAUUUAAAAGAGCAUUUUGAUGGCCUUUCAGAAG
Molecule: small RNA, 46 nt
Filed under: Parachlamydia acanthamoebae
Lineage: Bacteria; Pseudomonadati; Chlamydiota; Chlamydiia; Parachlamydiales; Parachlamydiaceae
Description: CRISPR-DR50
Source: RNAcentral